GCCGGCAUGGCGGAACUGGCAGACGCACAGGACUUAAAAUCCUGCGGGACUUACCUCCCGUACCGGUUCGAUUCCGGUUGCCGGCA
RNAcentral lists this transfer RNA (86 nucleotides) under Candidatus Enterocloster faecavium. RNAcentral describes it as "tRNA-Leu". It matches the Rfam family "tRNA". Rfam says of the family: Transfer RNA (tRNA) molecules are approximately 80 nucleotides in length. Their secondary structure includes four short double-helical elements and three loops (D, anti-codon, and T loops). RNAcentral also lists the same sequence under 4 other names. Lineage: Bacteria; Bacillati; Bacillota; Clostridia; Lachnospirales; Lachnospiraceae. The record is from RNAcentral.